CUUCUUCGUGAUUGUAAACAUACCUAUUAAAGAAAUGUUUAAGAGGUAGAGUACCUUUCUUUCUUAAUUGAAAGAGGUAGCAGGUAGAAAUACCCCUAAACCUCGGAGUUCAAAGUUCAUAAUUUUUAUGAUCCCUCAGACAGAUAUGAAAAGUUUUUUUUUAAACCCUUCAGAGUAAUGUUGUGGUAGAACGUGAUGAUUGAUAUGAAAUAAUGUAAACUCGUUGUGUACGAGUAGAAUCUGAGAUGAUUGAAUAAAGGUUAUUAUGACAACCUAGUUUUGAAGAAUGUUUAGAAGAUGUAAACUCCUAGUGAGUAGUUAUGGUGAAAUGUGAUGAUAGAAAGAGAAAUCCUCAAAGGAGGAAAUUGUAAAGGUUAAGUUGAAAACCUAGUUAUGAAUAAGAGAAUAAGCAGAGAUUAGUAUGCUUUAAUUUCGAGGACGAAAUUCUUAGAAGAAGGGGUGAAUGUGACAACCCGAAAAGUUUCUAAAAUCUUGAAUGAUUAGAAUAAAGGUUAAAGAAUAAAACCUAGAUGAGAAUUUGAGAAUUUAUUUAAAAUUUUCAAGAAAAACCUAUAUGGUUUGAUAUUCGAAUGAGAAUAGAGAAAAUAUGGGUUACAAAAUUCCAAAACCCUAGAAAUGAAUUAAUAUGUACUUGGAGGAAUAUCAAGAAUAAGGUAUUACGAUACCUGUAAAUUCGAUGUGAACUGAAUAGUCUAAGAAAUGUUAUAUAAGUACAUAUGGAAAUUUUAUUAUUGGAGAUAAGAUUUCACAGGAAGAGAUGCUAUGUGCUAUAUAUAUAUAUAUAUAUAUAUAUAUAUAUAUUUUAGCAAGAGGAAUGAUGAAUCAAGUUAAUGAUCAAGAUAAAACUAUGUUAGUAAUUAACAUAGCUUGAGUGUUGGCCUUGACUGACAAAUAAGAAUUUGAAGAAGUAUAAGGUCGUUAGUUAAUACGAUUAGUAAUGAGAAUGGAGUAAUUUAAAACUCAAAAUUUGAGUUAGAGAUAGAAUUUUGAAGCAUGGACUGCUCGAUUGCGUCCAAAACGUCGAGUUUAGUCAGAAUGGACAGUAAGCACAAAAUGUGUAAAGAUUGACUUUUGGUCAAAGUCAACAGUUAACUUUUUAUGGAGAAAAGUCAAAAUUAGUGUGAGAAGUGAAAUAUGUUAUGAUUAUAUGAAUUAUGGAUAUGAGUAAAUAAAUAUACAUUAUAUAAUGUGAAUACAUUUAUUUUGUAUAUAAGG
This 1236-nucleotide long non-coding RNA is filed under the name Panax ginseng (ginseng). Its description in RNAcentral is "long non-coding RNA (PGIN_LNC001442)". The record is from RNAcentral. Lineage: Eukaryota; Viridiplantae; Streptophyta; Magnoliopsida; Apiales; Araliaceae.